This 85-nucleotide microRNA precursor is filed under the name Propithecus coquereli (Coquerel's sifaka). Its description in RNAcentral is "microRNA 22 (ENSPCOG00000010149.1)". It matches the Rfam family "mir-22 microRNA precursor family". The record is from RNAcentral. Lineage: Eukaryota; Metazoa; Chordata; Mammalia; Primates; Indriidae.
GGCUGAGCCGCAGUAGUUCUUCAGUGGCAAGCUUUAUGUCCUGACGCAGCUAAAGCUGCCAGUUGAAGAACUGUUGCCCUCUGCC